AAUAAUAAUAAUAACCCUCCUUACCCUCUAUGACACUUCGAUAUACAAAUAUGGUGGCAAUCAGUGUUAUAAAAUUAACAAAUGUUUAAAUCUUUUACUGGUUCAUCAUCAUCUUCAAUAUCCCAACUUAAAUCCUCCUCUUCUUCUGCAGCACUCAACCCCUUUCGCAUAUCAAUCUUGUUUGGACUUCCACUGUGACUCACUUUCUUCUCAUCAAUGCUGCUCAGAUCCUCAAUCUCAUCCCACCCAAGAUCUUCCUCCUCUGGCAUUGAUGGGUGGCUGGAUAUAACAGAAACAUCACUAUCUUUAGAAGAUUCUCCGUUAUCACCCUUCCCUUCUGAUCCCGCUUUCUCGUCAGAUAUUGAUAGUGUCUCUUCUUUACUCUUCUUCUCCAAAUCCAAUUUAUCACCGGCUACAUUGUCACCACCACUCAAUAUCUUCUCUUCCUUUGAUUCCACGACAGAGAUUUCCUCCUUCACAUUCAUAGUUUGCUCAGUCUGUCCAAUGCUCGCCUUAUUAAUUUCAUCUCCCUUCACAAUUUGCUCUGAUUGUUUAUCAUGCAUGUCCUUCUCCUCAUCUUCGGUAAUUUUUGCAGAAUCUUUGCUACCCAAAUGGCCAUUUUGCUUGAAAUUGGCCUUCGAAGCGGAAUUCCUCUCAUCUUCCUUCUUCACGUUCUCUUCAUCAUCAUCAAAUUCCCAACUCAAGUCGUCCUCUUCGGUCGAAAUUGCUCGCUUCACAAGAUUAGCUCUCACGUCUUCAGCUUGCUUGAGCUUAUAUAGCUUAAAGUAGUAUCUACACCAAAAUGUCUCCUCAUCAACACUAUUGGGCACAACCUUUUUGUAUAUACUCUCCGCAGCACCAUUCUCCGCAAGCAAGUUUUCAAUCUCCUCUCUCUUCUCCUCCAAAACAAAAAUUUCCAUUUCUUGUAAUCCUCCAAAUCCUGUGUCUCCUCACAGUACGUGCUUGCAUCACCUUGAAUCGCCCGUACCUGAGCAUCAAA
Molecule: unclassified non-coding RNA, 1000 nt
Filed under: Hevea brasiliensis (rubber tree)
Lineage: Eukaryota; Viridiplantae; Streptophyta; Magnoliopsida; Malpighiales; Euphorbiaceae
Source: RNAcentral